GAUCAUUUGCCUUUGGAGGCUUUUUACUUUGAAAGUAAAACAGAGGUGUUCGAGUCACUUAGUGGUUU
Molecule: transfer RNA, 68 nt
Filed under: Kulikovia alborostrata
Lineage: Eukaryota; Metazoa; Nemertea; Pilidiophora; Heteronemertea; Lineidae
Description: tRNA-Ser
Source: RNAcentral